CCAGCAGCUGCGGUAAUUCCAGCUCCAAUAGCGUAUAUUAAAGUUGUUGCAGUUAAAACGCUCGUAGUCUGAUGUAAUGGGGACUGGUGUGGGGAGCAGCGAUGCUCUGUGCAGCGGUCCUCAUCAGGGGGCCAGCAAUGGCCCAGUUUACUUUGAGGAAAUUAGAGUGUUCAAAGCAGGCGAUUGCUUGAAUACUGCAGCAUGGAAUAAUGGAAUAGGACUCGCGUCUUAUUUUGUUGGUUUGGAGAUGUGAGUAAUGAUGAAUAGGGACAGUUGGGGGCAUUGGUAUUCAGUAGUCAGAGGUGAAAUUCUUGGAUUUACUGAAGACUAACUAGUGCGAAAGCAUUUGC
This 350-nucleotide ribosomal RNA is filed under the name uncultured eukaryote. RNAcentral describes it as "SSU rRNA". It matches the Rfam family "Eukaryotic small subunit ribosomal RNA", at positions 567 to 958 of the family's 1831-position model. The record is from RNAcentral.